UGAGCCCGCGCACGCGGCUUCAGGGCGGGGCUGCGUGAUGUCGUUACAUGCGCGCGCCGCUCGCUGCUGUGGCCAUAACUUUACGGACACGUGUGCGCAUUCAGAUGGCAGCCAUGGUUGGCGGCUCCUUUGUCGCAUGUGCUGCGGCCCUCACCUUUUCUGCAUCCGUCGUCAUCAGGGUACAGGCGCGGUGCAGGGCUACUUCGAGUCCAGGUGGGCAUCGAGGCCAGGUGAGUGGCCCCAUAACGUGGAAGGGAUGAUCGAGUUCUUCUAGAAGAUGUCCUGGAAACCUAAGUUGCUGGAGCUCGAAGUGACUUGAUGGCACUUCAGAACCAUCGGGCUGUUUCAUGGAACUUCCACUGAAGCGGUGCGGAAAUGGAGACUGAAAUGAGACUCCAGCUGUGUUGAUCGCUUUUGAAGCCUCCUUGGCCUUUAACAAAGCAAUCCGUAGUUUCUGGUUCCUGGCCUAAGCUUGAUUCUAUCUAUGUGUUUGUCCUCCUCCCAGACUCCUUCAGAUUUUGAAUAAGGAACCCAGCUGUGCCUAUUGUCUGACAUCUGAAUAGAAUGAACCGCAGCCAUUGUAGCCAGCUAGAGGAAAACACAUCUGCUAAUCAGUGCUUCUGGACACUAGAUCAGGCCAGACUGGGCUUCGAAAGUCCCAGUCUCAAAUAAAUGUGAUUUUAUAUAUAA
Long non-coding RNA from Rattus norvegicus (Norway rat), 690 nucleotides. RefSeq lists it as uncharacterized. NCBI's taxonomy places the organism in Eukaryota, Metazoa, Chordata, Mammalia, Rodentia, Muridae. The record is from RefSeq and is a predicted model, not a curated record.